Molecule: long non-coding RNA, 6696 nt
Organism: Mus musculus (house mouse)
Lineage: Eukaryota; Metazoa; Chordata; Mammalia; Rodentia; Muridae
Product: predicted gene, 31336
Exons: 4
Source: RefSeq, a predicted model, not a curated record
UCAACUGAAUUCCACUGAACUCAACUGAUCUCCACUGCAUUGCUUGAACUCAACCAAACUGAACUUACUGCACCACCGUCCACCUGACUCACUCUGCCUGUCCUUAAGUUCACUAGUGAAUAUUCACUGCAAUGAGUUUCUGGUCUGAUCUGAGAUCUCUGGCUUCUGGGACACCAUCAAUAUUGACUCCUCACCUGGAAUCCACAUGGUAAUCCUGUUGCUGCCUUGUGUCAUGGAGAUCCUGCAGCUUUGGGUCAGCAUGACUGACCCUUUCACGCUGAUCCAAGAGUUCACAGUUGAUGCAGAUUUUGGAGUGGGUCAACUCAAAGCCCUGGAUCUGGGCCUGGGGGUAGCUGAGAUGCUCAGCCAGCUGGCUUUCUUUUAUCUGAAUCACCAGGGAAGUGCCCAUGAAGACGAGAAAGGGACGUAGAACUCCUGGAUCUGGAGUGUCAGAUGGUUGUGAGCUGCCAUUUGAAUGCUGGGAACAAAACACAGGUCCUCUGCAAGAACAGCAAGUGCUGUUACACACUGAGCCAUCUCUCCAGCCCCUGGCCGACUUCAAUUUUUUUAUUUGCUUACAUUAAUCUGUGCCUGAUUGGUUUUUGGUUGUUUUGUUUGUUUUGUUUUGUUUUGUUUUGUUUUGUUUGUUUUAAAGCCUAUCAACUGUGUUCACUCAUGUAAACAAAGCUCCUAGUCAGACCCAUCCCGCCCUUCUACCCCCACUGUCCUCAGCAGAACAUUCUUUAGUCUUCAGUUUACCAGCAUAACAGACUAACCCUCACAGUGAGCUGCCGCUUCACAGGCCUUUCCAGGCCAUGCUUGUGGGAUUCUCAAAGCCUAAAGGCAAGCUCUUCCACAAGGGACUUCUAGCCGGAAAGGGCACUGGCUCUCUGAGGAUUUGAAUAUGGCCCCACCCACUUCAGUCCUUAGAAUGGAUCUACGAGAUGAUUCCACCACUCUGCAUUCAACUCCAGAGACCACUGGUGAUGCAGCAGACCAUCCUUAGAAUGACUGACACUGUCACUUCUCACCCUUCUCAAGCGUGACUCCCAAGCAACCCCAGCAGCAAGUCUACCAGCAAACGUAUGCAUCAGGGCCUGGUCCCAGGACAUCCCAUCUAGAAUAUGGGAAAAACCUUGCUGUACAGUGAGCUGAAACCAGGAGCCUGUGUGAUGUACCCACAGUAACACAACUCCCAAGGGCACCACUGACAGGAACUAUGACACCACACUACGGUUUCUCUCUCCACUUUUUGCUUUUGACAUGCAGCUCAAUCCGUGGGGACAGUCCUGCCAGCAAAUAACCCAUUGUUUUCAUGACAGAAAAUUACAUGCCAACAAGUGACAUUUAAAUUCUGAAUUUUAAUCACUUGUCAAAAAGUGAAAUGCAUUUUUAAGAAAUUUAAUAUGAGAGAGCAAUGUGUCUGCUCAUAUAGACAAGAAUGUUAAAAUAAAAUGAAAGUGUUUUGUUCGUUGAUGUAUACAUUUGUGGGGGUUGCAUAAUUAAAUCCCAUUAACUUUCCUCCUCUGUGGAGAAAGCUCCAGAAGGCAGUGGGCAUGCACUGUCAGAAACCAACACAUGUCCAGGAAGUAGCUGGGACAGAGGGAACAAUGCCACCAGUGCUGGUGUGAUGUAGUCCCCAAGGUAGACUGAGCCCUCAGAUUCUGACUUCCCAACCCCAGAAGUAUCCUUAUGACAGACAGGCUAACCAAGAUCAGGAUACCCACUGGCUGGGAAACCCCUCCCCCAGUGUACAGCAUGCUCAGCACCCUAGAGUAUAGGUCAUAGUGGAGCCUACAUGAUCAGAUCUAAAACCCUGAAAGGCCCAGGAUGAAGGAGUCAAGUGGAGACUAGGUAAAACCAACUAGGCAGGUCAAAUCACAUGGUACUGCAUGAAGGAUAAGGCAGAAGGGGGUUACAUGGUGCUUCAGGCAUCCUUAUGUAUACCUGUACAAACAUGCACUGUGCAGGUAAAUGGGAAUGUACUGUGUAUAUAUGCACAUGUCUGUUCAUAUAGGUUUGUGCCACUGUACUGUGCCAUGUGUUUACUUGCAACCAUAUAGGAGUGUGCAAUAUGUAUGUAACACCUAUAUACACAGGCAUGUGCUGGUGCCAUGUCAUGUGUUUUUAUGUGUAGCUGUGAGCAUGAGUGUGCAUGUAUAACACAUGUAGAUAUGCAUGUUUAUUAAUUCAUGGCAUGUAUUUGGAGUGUGCAUACAGCUGUGUAGGAGUGGGAAAAGCCAAGUGUAGUCUUGCUGCUCCUAAGGACUGUGGAGACAAGGUUAUCCAAAAUGAAAUCAGGCAGACACUGCUCACUUUUUAGCCUUGUAUCAACUCAGUAUGCUUGGACUUCAAUUUCCUGCAUAUGACCUUCCAGCCCUGUUACCUCUCACACAAGUGCUAGCAGCAUGUAGUGUCUCCCUGCAGCCUGCAGCCUGGAGCUUGGGACCCAGAGAAGCAAUGGAGUUAAGACACCUGGUGAAACCAAUGACCUGAAUGUUUCCUCAAGACUGUCCUCAUUACUUACUAGAAAUGCACAGUCACGAGAAAAUCAUAACAGGGGUUCCUACAAAGUCAGUUCUGGUUCUCUCAGUGUCUUUCCCAUAAUACCCAUUGCCUGUCUCACCUCCUGUAUAGGUCUGCCUUCUUCUGCCAUUUAGGGGUCCCUUCUGGUUACUGAAGCCAUCACGCUUCCCACAUGUCCCCCUGUACCACAGUGACAUGUGCUCCCUGUAUCUUUUUCUGAUAGUAGCUUUAAGUGUACCUAUAUGGCAGGAGACAUGGUGAGAAAAGGUGGGAUGGCAUGCUGGGCAGAGAAACCAAGCAGAGCUUUAAGUAAGGAUGGUGUAGGAAGGCAGCAUCUCGGCUUGACCAGGUCAGAGUCCUCUUUCCUAAACUCUCACAUGCUCUCCUUUUCCUUUAACUUGAAACUUGUUUGUCAUGAACUGGGCUCACAUAAAUACAGCUUGCACAUGCUGCCAGCCAUGCCAGAAAGUGUUAGGCUGGUAAAAGAGACCAUGGUGGCUUUCUGUCCUAUCCAGGAGGAGCCAGUUAUCUGUAUGUAGCAAAACCCAUGCAUCUACAGUCUGGAAAAAUUCAGAUAAUAGAGGAAGUCUCAGGAGCUCAGUUCCAUCCCUGCAGAAAGACAGGUUCACUCUUCUGUGCAGAAAGCCAUCAGCUAAGCAAAGGCCAUCUGUUCGCUCUGUCAAAGGAACACCCUUCUCUUCUCAAAAGACAACGUGAAGGGAAAAAAGCAAACUUGGAAGGUGAAGUACGCUCCGGUGUUCAGUCUUCUCAGUGUUACCAAGACAAUCACCAUGAUGUCGCAUCUGUACCUCCCCUGCCUGCCCUAACUUUGUCCUUAUACCUCUCCCUAUAUUCACAGUCAUGUCUAUAUUUGCAUCUGCACCCAUAUCUUCUUCAUCUUCAGCAUCUGCAUGUAUAACUGAACCAAAGAAGCUAUUCCUGAACCUAUAUGUAUUAGUCAGAGUUCUCUACACACAGAACUACUAAGGAGGAAAAGGAAGGACUUAUAAUAGGAAUUACCCCCCAAUGAUUCCUAUGACAAUAGGCUGGAGCUCCAGAAAAUAUGAUGAUGUAACUCUGAGGCCAACAAGGGAAGCUGAGAAACUGCUAGAAUGGAUGAGUCCAAAGGCCAGAGGCUCUAAAGGUCUAAUAUCCCUGGCAGAAUAUUUCAGCACUAGCAAACAGGAACUCUGAUUUCCUCUGUGCAGGCACAAGCCAACUGAUGGUGCUACCUCCCACACAAUACCACCUUUGACAUCAGACAUGCCCAUGACAGACAGGCCCAGAAGUGGCACUUUACCAGCUAUCUACAUAUCCCUUAAUCUAGUUACCUUGGCACCUGAAAUUAACCAACAUACUCUGAUAGAAGGUUUGAACUAUAAUCCCAUUCACAGAUGUUUAGCUCUAAGACAUGAUGUCCAGUACCCCGCACAUCAUGAGACUGGGUGUCUGCUCACAGACUAUCCCACUCUGUGUAUCCUUUUUUUUUUUUUUUAAAUGUGCUUACAAAGCAUCAUGAUCUACUAUCCUCUUAAUGGUGUUUUCACCACAGGGUCAUCCUAUGAUUAAGAACUCACAGGACUAUCAGACCUGUAGCUGGCUCAGCCCCCUGGCCUACUUUCCCCUGCUCAAUACUCUCUCCUUUCUGGAAUGAGCAUUUCCUAUUUGCCAUGACAGCCUUUCCUGUGCAUGGACAUUCAGAAGGAGCAAGGAAAUUGUUAUGUCAUUAUGAGCAAGGAAAAUGGUAACAAGAGAAAUGGCAGUGCAUCAGCCACCAGGACCCCUCCUGAGUUUCAUUUACCGACAGACAUACCCAGGAUCUGACUUCUAUUGAGUCUGUGGUACCAAAGUAAUGGUAGUGACAGACCUGGAGUCUGUCCCAGAUGACAUCUCUGAUCUGAUGUCCUUCCAGACCUACUAAAGCCUCUGGAUGUGAACCGUGAGUUGACCAUUUUUAUGCCCACAUUAGGGCUGCACCAGAUGACUGCAUCAGCACAGCUGAAUAAAGGACUAGAAUAUAUGCUCAUUCUGGCAUUCAACCUUAAAGAAUUAACCAACUCAAAACUCAGGUUGACAGUUUGUAAACACUCAUACUUGGACCAGAGAAAGGCUUUGCCAUGCACCUGAGCCUCUCCUAAGAGAGACAUUGCCACUGAGCUGAGGCACAAGAAAGACACUGUCACUGGUCUGAGGCACAGGGUUCUUCCUUACCAUGAGUGUGAUUAUGUCAAUCACAUGGACUCCCUUGGGAUUUCUUCUGACCUUUACACAUUCUCUCAAGGCUUCCCUUACCACCUACAUAUUUCCUCCACCCAUAGCAAGCAAGCACUUCAGCAAACUUUGGUUUGUUUCCUGGAGGAGUGACCCAUACCUUCAUCCUUGAAACUUCUGGGACAUGUAUUUACCCUGCUGAAUUGAGUUGCUGCAGUUUCCCACUGACUUUAAUCACAAGACACAGGUAACAGUAAGAGACACCCUAAGUACCCCUUAUACUCCAGACACAAUCUUCCUUACCUCCACUAUAAAAAGCAAUCCAAUUUCCCACUGGCAAUCCAGACCAAUCACACUCUUAUUCCUUUCUUAGCCUGUUGGCUCAAGGGUAUCAGAAACCCAAAGUGGCCAGGAGGAGGUCUGAGCCUCUCAUCUGUUGUGUUUUCUGGCAGAAAUAUUUCUCUGUUUAGAGCCAAAACGUUUAGGCCACCAGAAUAGGAAGCAAAAAUUCUCCAUUAGGAGUUUGUGAAUGGGACCACCCCCAUAACUAUUCUUUAAUUCCCAGACUUAUGAAUCAUAGCUAUAGAAGUUAAGGUAUCACCUACUGGAUGCUGAUUCAAAGCAUAUACACUUUUAAGAAUAACUCUUCCCUAGCCCUCCAGGCUGCUACCACCUAAUUGAUAAUGUAACUGUGUUUUUAAGAGGUCAUUCCAUUGUUCCAUCAGGAAAGCUGCUUCAGGAUCGUGAGAAACACAUAAGACCUGUGGAUCCUAUGGUCAUGGACCCACUGCCACACUUGUCUGGCUAUGAAGUAAGGUCCAUGAUCAGGUGCAAGUGGAAUACCAUGUGGAUAGAUGUUCUCUAAGUCCAGGUUGGUAGCAUUAGCAGAAGAGUUAUGUUCAGAAAAGGCAAAUCAAUAAACUGAAUAAGCAUCCAUCCCAACAAGGACAAAGCAUUAUUCUUUCCAUGAAAGAAGGGAUCGAGACAGUGGAGCAGGUCACUGACAGAUCACCCCGGUAAAUGGUGCUUAUUGGGAAGGGGGAGCUCAGCGUUUAUCUUUGCAUAUGGCAGAUCAGUCACUUAGCAGUAGUUGUGGCCAGGUCAGCCCCAAUGAGUUGAAGCCCAUGUUAAGCCCAUGAAUAACUUUCACCUCUGCCACCAUGGCCAUUUUGUUUAUGAGCCAACUGAGCAGUGACAGGCAGGGAUGGCUGGAGAAAGAGGCUAGCUGUCCAGAGAACAGAUUAUCCUAUCUACUUGAUUAUUUAACUCCUCUUCUGAAUUUAUCUUUCAAUGAGCAUUUUUAUGGGAUAUAAUUAUCUUUACAUCCUUUUUCCAUCCAAUGAUAUCUAGCCACAUACUUCUGUCCCAGGUAUCUUUCUCACAGAUUUUCUCCAAUCAUGCUCUUUCCAAGUCUCUGAGCAUCCAGCCAAUCAAUUGGAUGCAGCACAUGAAUCAGUAAACAAUUACACAUCUGGCCUUUUUUUUUUCUUUCAAGCAAAAUGUAUGACCAUGUGCACUGCCUGAAGUUCUGCCCAGUGUGAUGAUUUCCCUUCACCAGUGUCUUUCAGAGUUGUACCAGAGGUGGUUGCAACAGUACAGCUGUCCAAUUUUCAGUGAUACCUACAUAACUUACAGAACCAUCAGUACACCAGGGCCUAGAAUUCUUUUCCUCAGUCAACUGAUCAUAAGGCACAUCCAAUGAGGCAUGCUUUGGAGCAAAGAGCAUUGUAGCAGGAAUAGAAGCCACAGGUAUUUUGGAAAUGUCUUCAUGUAACUUGCUUGUGCCCUCAGGACCUACUCAGAUCCUAUCAUUCAUUCAUAUAUAUAUAUAUAUAUCACUUCCAUUGAUAAUGGAUCUCUGCUUUGUACAUCCUACUUUAUGGCUUGGUGGACAGAUAAUACCCAGCUCAUGAUAGGCAGCUCAUGUCACAGGAUAACUUGGUGACCCAUUGUCAAUCA